ANUCAAUAUUAAUUNACGGANNAUACUCUGACCCAGCGACGCCGCGUGCGGGAUGAAGGCCUUCGGGUUGUAAACCGCUUUCAGCAGGGAAGAAGCGAAAGUGACGGUACCUGCAGAAGAAGCACCGGCUAACUAUGUGCCAGCAGCCGCGGUAAUACAUAGGGUGCAAGCGUUGUCCGGAAUUAUUGGGCGUAAAGAGCUCGUAGGUGGUUCGUCACGUCGGAUGUGAAACUCUGGGGCUUAACCCCAGACCUGCAUUCGAUACGGGCGAGCUUGAGUAUGGUAGGGGAGUCUGGAAUUCCUGGUGUAGCGGUGGAAUGCGCAGAUAUCAGGAGGAACACCAAUGGCGAAGGCAGGACUCUGGGCCAUUACUGACACUGAGGAGCGAAAGCGUGGGGAGCGAACAGGAUUAGAUACCCUGGUAGUCCACGCCGUAAACGGUGGGCACUANUUGUGGGGACCUUUCACGGGUUUUGGAACCAAUUANCCCNUUAAUGGCCCCCCUUGGGGAGNANA
This 516-nucleotide ribosomal RNA is filed under the name uncultured bacterium. RNAcentral describes it as "bacterial SSU rRNA". It matches the Rfam family "Bacterial small subunit ribosomal RNA", at positions 356 to 884 of the family's 1533-position model. The record is from RNAcentral.